UACGUAGGGAGCGAGCGUUGUCCGGAAUUACUGGGUGUAAAGGGAGCGUAGGCGGGAUUGCAAGUUGGAUGUGAAAACUGCGGGCUCAACCCGGAGCGUGCAUUCAAAACUGCGAUUCUUGGGUGAAGUAGAGGCAAGCGGAAUUCCUAGUGUAGCGGUGAAAUGCGUAGAUAUUAGGAGGAACACCAGUGGCGAAGGCGGCUUGCUGGGCUUUUACUGACGCUGAGGCUCGAAAGUGUGGGGAGCAAACAGG
RNAcentral lists this ribosomal RNA (253 nucleotides) under uncultured bacterium. Its description in RNAcentral is "partial 16S ribosomal RNA". It matches the Rfam family "Bacterial small subunit ribosomal RNA", at positions 524 to 776 of the family's 1533-position model. The record is from RNAcentral.